AACGAACGCUGGCGGCAUGCCUAACACAUGCAAGUCGAACGAGACCUUCGGGUCUAGUGGCGCACGGGUGCGUAACGCGUGGGAACCUGCCCUUAGGUUCGGAAGAACUCCCCGAAAGGGGUGCUAAUACCGGAUAAUGUCUUCGGACCAAAGAUGUAUCGCCUUUGGAUGGGCCCGCGUUGGAUUAGCUAGUUGGUAGGGUAAAAGCCUACCAAGGCGACGAUCCAUAGCUGGUCUGAGAGGAUGAUCAGCCACGCUGGGACUGAGACACGGCCCAGACUCCUACGGGAGGCAGCGGUGGGGAAUAUUGGACAAUGGACGAAGGCCUGAUCCAGCAUUGCCGCGUGAGUGAUGAAGGCCUUAGGGUUGUAAAGCUCUUUUACCCGGGAUGAUAAUGACAGUACCGGGAGAAUAAGCUCCGGCUAACUCCGUG
RNAcentral lists this ribosomal RNA (433 nucleotides) under uncultured bacterium. RNAcentral's name for it is "partial 16S ribosomal RNA". It matches the Rfam family "Bacterial small subunit ribosomal RNA", at positions 29 to 507 of the family's 1533-position model. The record is from RNAcentral.